CUCACAUGGAAAACAGCACUCUACCAGACGGCACCCGACUACCCGAGCACAGCACACUUCGCCACAAACACUUAACCUGGACCAGGAGCUCAUUAAUCUGCAAAACCUGAAACUACAUAUAUCUACAAAUAAUGGCGAAAUGUCUCAUCCAGAACCAUCCGUUCGUAGUAAUUUUGGGCGUUAUACUGUUUGCCUUGUACUGUCGAACUGCCGUAGCUCAAGAGGAAGGCCAACUUUGCAAAAUUUUAGGGGUUGACACACCCCUAACGAUGUGCAUGGAAACGGCAAGAUGCGAUAUUGUACCUGUUUUUCUGGGAACAUGUUCGUCUGGACUGAAAUGUUGCCUCGUCCCUGCGAAGGAAGCUCCCGUGGAAAAUUUCAAUAAAACCGAAAUUAAUCUUUGAACA
This is a long non-coding RNA of Folsomia candida, 407 nucleotides long. RefSeq lists it as uncharacterized. The transcript is spliced from 3 exons. Lineage: Eukaryota; Metazoa; Arthropoda; Collembola; Entomobryomorpha; Isotomidae. The record is from RefSeq and is a predicted model, not a curated record.